AGGGUUUGAUCCUGGCUCAGGAUGAACGCUGGCGGCGUGCCUAACACAUGCAAGUCGAACGGAGUUAAUUUGGAAAUCUCUUCGGAGAUGGAAUUCUUAACUUAGUGGCGGACGGGUGAGUAACGCGUGAGCAAUCUGCCCUUAGGUGGGGGAUAACAGUUGGAAACGGCUGCUAAUACCGCAUAAUGCAGAGAGAAGACAUCUUCUUUCUGCCAAAGAUUUAUUGCCUUUGGAUGAGCUCGCGUCUGAUUAGCUAGUUGGCGGGGUAACGGCCCACCAAGGCGACGAUCAGUAGCCGGACUGAGAGGUUGAACGGCCACAUUGGGACUGAGACACGGCCCAG
Molecule: ribosomal RNA, 343 nt
Filed under: uncultured bacterium
Lineage: Bacteria
Description: bacterial SSU rRNA
Rfam family: Bacterial small subunit ribosomal RNA
Source: RNAcentral